UGUGAACUCGAAGAGUAGGGCGGGACACGUGGUAUCCUGUCUGAAUAUGGGGGGACCAUCCUCCAAGGCUAAAUACUCCUGACUGACCGAUAGUGAACCAGUACCGUGAGGGAAAGGCGAAAAGAACCCCGGCGAGGGGAGUGAAAAAGAACCUGAAACCGUGUACGUACAAGCAGUGGGAGCACCUUCGGGUGUGACUGCGUACCUUUUGUAUAAUGGGUCAGCGACUUAUAUUCUGUAGCAAGGUUAACCGUAUAGGGGAGCCGCAGGGAAACCGAGUCUUAACUGGGCGUUAAGUUGCAGGGUAUAGACCCGAAACCCGGUGAUCUAGCCAUGGGCAGGUUGAAGGUUGGGUAACACUAACUGGAGGACCGAACCGACUAAUGUUGAAAAAUUAGCGGAUGACUUGUGGCUGGGGGUGAAAGGCCAAUCAAACCGGGAGAUAGCUGGUUCUCCCCGAAAGCUAUUUAGGUAGCGCCUCGUGAACUCAUCUUCGGGGG
Molecule: ribosomal RNA, 500 nt
Filed under: Klebsiella pneumoniae
Lineage: Bacteria; Pseudomonadati; Pseudomonadota; Gammaproteobacteria; Enterobacterales; Enterobacteriaceae
Also listed under: 1 other name
Description: partial 23S ribosomal RNA
Rfam family: Bacterial large subunit ribosomal RNA
Source: RNAcentral